RNAcentral lists this ribosomal RNA (377 nucleotides) under uncultured bacterium. RNAcentral describes it as "bacterial SSU rRNA". It matches the Rfam family "Bacterial small subunit ribosomal RNA", at positions 29 to 404 of the family's 1533-position model. The record is from RNAcentral.
AUUGAACGCUGGCGGAAUGCUUUACACAUGCAAGUCGAGCGGCAGCGCGGGGGCAACCCUGGCGGCGAGCGGCGAACGGGUGAGUAAUACAUCGGAACGUGUCCUUAAGUGGGGGAUAGCUCGGCGAAAGCCGGAUUAAUACCGCAUAAGCUCUGAGGAGGAAAGCGGGGGGCUCCGUAAGGACCUCGCGCUGUUGGAGCGGCCGAUGUCGGAUUAGCUAGUUGGUGGGGUAAAGGCCCACCAAGGCGACGAUCCGUAGCUGGUCUGAGAGGAUGAUCAGCCACACUGGAACUGAGACACGGUCCAGACUCCUACGGGAGGCAGCAGUGGGGAAUUUUGGACAAUGGGGGCAACCCUGAUCCAGCCAUUCCGCGUGA